This is a long non-coding RNA of Terrapene triunguis (Three-toed box turtle), 241 nucleotides long. RefSeq lists it as uncharacterized. The transcript has 3 exons. The record is from RefSeq and is a predicted model, not a curated record. Lineage: Eukaryota; Metazoa; Chordata; Testudines; Emydidae.
AGGUUUACAGUGUUGACUGGAGCCAAACUAGAGGAGAACAGGUAGUGGUGUCUGGUUCAUGGGAUCAAACUGCCAAACUGUGGGACCCAACUGUGGGGCGGUCAUUAUGCACUUUUAAAGGCCACGAAGGCAUCAUUUACAGCACUAUAUGGUCUCCGCACAUCCCAGGCUGUUUUGCAUCUGCCUCAGAAAAUGGGGGAGGAGCAGAAAAGAAGGGGAUCCCUUGCCAUGCUGAAAUGUA